This is a long non-coding RNA of Herpailurus yagouaroundi (jaguarundi), 2586 nucleotides long. RefSeq lists it as uncharacterized. The record is from RefSeq and is a predicted model, not a curated record. The transcript has 3 exons. NCBI's taxonomy places the organism in Eukaryota, Metazoa, Chordata, Mammalia, Carnivora, Felidae.
GCCCCGCUCGCUGGGGAAAAGAGGACUUUGGAGCACCCUUGUCUUGUCUUCUUACAAAUAGCAACCAAGCAUUUCUGUACCUCUGCCGGUUGCCAUAGAGACCGUGGGGGGAACACAUGUAAAUAUUCGGCAUGUGUGAGACAUGCUAAUGUCCUCCAGGGCAGUGUGGUUCCUCUUCCACUUGGCUUUUCUCUCUCUGGCCGAGCAGAGCAGCAGUUUGCAGCCACAUCAGUAAGCCCUGUGGUUUUAGGCGUCAGACUCGUGCAGCUCGUUUUUAAGGAACUCGUCUACCGGGAGGGACUGGGAAACACCCCACAUUUAGAUCAUGAGACCUGGGCUUGCAAUGCUUGUCUUUCUACUUUGUGGUUGCAGAAGCUUGUUCCACCUCCAUCUUCUCGUCCUCAAAGCAGGGAAAAUAAAGCCCUCUUCCCGUGCAGAGGAUUGCGAGAACGGACACAAGCUCUGGAAAGAUGCGAGCACUAGGUGCGCUUAGUGACAUUAUUAUGUCAUUACGGUGCGCUCCCAAAGGCUCGUCAAACUGGAUCCGCGACUCAGGGGUUGGCAUGUAGAAACGGGGCAGCUCGUCAUGAGAGUCAGCGGCUGGACGGCAGUGGUCCUUCUCGGAGUUUGGUGUGGAUGUCUCCACGCAGUGCACCUUGCUCUAUUGAAGGCCGGUGAACUCACAGGAGGAAUCCCAGGCCCUGGGGCUUUGCCCUGGCCUCUCUCCUUCCAUUUUCCCAGGGCCUCCGUGGUGAUCAAGGGCCCUAGCACAGCCUUACAUCCAUACGAGAGCAGAACAGCUCAGCCACUAAUCUCCCUGAACCUUGAAGAAACCCAGGUGUCUUCUUAAAACGCAAAUCCACCCCCGAGGCUUGGAGAAGUCCACAAAUCCAGCAGCAGGAACCUCCUGCUCAAGGGGGCACCGAGAACCGAGGGGUAUGUGUGGGCCCAGCUCCGGGUUUGAAUUCCAAAGUCAGCCCCUCGAAUUCCAGCCCCUUGUGUGGCUCCUUCUGGGGGUUGGUGGGAGGGGCGGAGCUAAGGAUCAGGGUGUUGUCCUCCAUGACUGCCUGUCUGCUGCCACCCACGCUCUGAAGAGUUUCUUUCCCAUCGGAAUGUUCCUGCGUAUCUCCUUGACAACCCGGACACGGUGCUGUGGUGAGGAGAAACAAUGCGAGUCAGCCAGCUGGGCGGAGCCGGGCCUGUGGUGGCUUCCCAGGACGCACUCUCCCUUCCAGGGUUCUAGGUUCAUGUUUGUGCUUCAGUCUAGCACAACAGCGAUGCUGAGGCGCGGCCCCAGAAGAACCAGCCUGGCACAUGUUUCUUGGGCCACACAGCCAGGCUGUGUGGGGAAGUCGGGACACCCAACCCCGGGGCUCCAGCCUUCCCUGACCAGAUUUGCAAUCUGCUGAAGCAAAGAGCUCACCACAUGGAUCGCUGAUCAGGAGAAAGGCAGGGGGCAGCCAGGAGGGAGAGAAGAGGUAUGGGAGCCGGGGGGCUAAGAGAGACCGGCGAGGCCAAGAAUGUUCCACAUUCUCUUCCCUUGACGUUCUACAAGCCAAAUCUCGCGUCUAGAAGGAAAAUGGACAGACGGUCCUGAUUUAUGAUGCUUUGACUCAGUGGUGUCCAACUUUACAAUGUGCCCAAAUGAUGCACACUGAGUAGAAACCGUACUUGGACUUCUGAAUUUGGAUCUUUCCCCAGGCUAAUGAUACGCAGUAUGAUCCUCUCUGGUGAUGCUGGGCAGAAGUAACAAGCCUCAGCUCCCUGCCAGCCGCACGAUCGCGGGGGUCAAGCUCACAACCAGCCUGCACCCACACAGCCCUUCUGUGUGUCACUUUCAGUACAGUGCUCAUAAGUUACACGAGGGAGCCAGCCGACACUUUAGUAUCAAGUGGGCCUUGCCUCAGAUGAUUUUGCCCAACUGUAGGCUAAGAGAUCUUCCUGGUUCCUGGUAUGAUGAGUGAUGGGAAUUGGAACCUAGGCAUUUGAAUCUUAUUGAUUCAACAAGACUCUGAGUCUUAUCGAAGCCUUCUGUUUUGGCUGGCUUCUGCUGACAUCUCUCUGGCAGAAGAAGGGGCUGGAUUCGAUGCCAUAUUCCCCCUCUCUGACUAACCCCCAGCCGCAGCAGAAGAGCCAUGCGCCUCCACACUUGGGGCCCUUCGCUCGUGCCGGGGUGGUCUCCUUCCGCCUUUCCCGUGGCUGCGACCUCCUCAAAGAGUGCCGCCGGAUCUGCAUUUUAGACAUCCUCCCUCUGCUAAGAUUAAGUGUAUCAGUCUAUCCACCCAAAGGCUCAGACCGGCACCUGGCAUACGGUAAGCGCUCAGUUAAUGUUAGUUCCUGUUAACUGCCUGAUCAUUGUUGUUCUAGUAGCUACUCUAAAAUUGCACGCCUAGGUGAUUUGUUAAAUGAAGUAGGAAAGAGUAAUAAUAUCAAUAUCUGGGCCCCCAGGAGCUUUUAAGAGAGCUAUUUUCAGAGGAAUAAGAAUGUGGGCUUGUAAAUUUUUUUCCCUGCCUUAAAACAAGAGUUGUCAGCUGCUAUUGUCACACACGCAGUUACUUUGUGUCUAAUGAUAGUAUGUAAAACAAC